CCUACGGGAGGCAGCAGUGAGGAAUAUUGGUCAAUGGGCGCGAGCCUGAACCAGCCAAGUAGCGUGAAGGAUGACGGCCCUACGGGUUGUAAACUUCGUUUAUAAAGGAAUAAAGUGAGGCACGUGUGCCUUUUUGUAUGUACUUUAUGAAUAAGGAUCGGCUAACUCCGUGCCAGCAGCCGCGGUAAUACGGAGGAUCCGAGCGUUAUCCGGAUUUAUUGGGUUUAAAGGGAGAGUAGAUGGGUUGUUAAGUCAGUUGUGAAAGUUUGCGGCUCAACCGUAAAAUUGCAAUUGAAACUGGUUUUCUUGAGUGAAGUAGAGGUUGGCGGAAUUCCGAGUGUAGCGGUGAAAUGCGUAGAUAUUCGGAGGAACACCGGUGGCGAAGGCGGCCAACUGGGCUUUAACUGACGCUGAGGCUCGAAAGUGUGGGGAGCAAACAGGAUUAGAUACCCGAGUAGUC
This 460-nucleotide ribosomal RNA is filed under the name uncultured bacterium. Its description in RNAcentral is "partial 16S ribosomal RNA". It matches the Rfam family "Bacterial small subunit ribosomal RNA", at positions 338 to 795 of the family's 1533-position model. The record is from RNAcentral.